RNAcentral lists this microRNA precursor (74 nucleotides) under Plutella xylostella (diamondback moth). Its description in RNAcentral is "mir-965 microRNA precursor family". It matches the Rfam family "mir-965 microRNA precursor family". Lineage: Eukaryota; Metazoa; Arthropoda; Insecta; Lepidoptera; Plutellidae. The record is from Rfam by way of RNAcentral.
UUACUGAGGGAGAAGUUAUAUCGCUGUAUGUAUUAUGUGCACUAUCAUAAGCGUAUAGCUUUUCCCCUUAGUGG